Long non-coding RNA from Phasianus colchicus (ring-necked pheasant), 1616 nucleotides. The record is from Ensembl. NCBI's taxonomy places the organism in Eukaryota, Metazoa, Chordata, Aves, Galliformes, Phasianidae.
NNNNNNGUGCACCCACACCGGGGAAAGGCAUUGUGACAUCACAGGGCGGGGCGUGACAUCAGCCUUUAUUUAGUCACGCUGGAAGCCUCCCCCAGCUCAGACACGUGGGGCGGUCGCUCCGUCCUGGCAGUCGCUGCUGGAGCUCCCUCUGAGUGACAGCCGCUUGUGUGUUGAGAGUGGUCCUUGGGAGAGAACAGGAUGAAGUUCAGCCUGACUCUCUUCCUGAUCUUACUUGCUUUCAUGUCUCCAAUUCCUGACCUUCCCAGCUGUCUCAGCUGGGACCGGAACUGGGACAAAAAGCUGCUCCUUCCCGAGGAGCAGCAUCCCUUAGAGACCGAGUGCCAGCCCUCCAGCUGGCUCUCCUGGCUUGGUCUAACCACCUGCCCCCUCAAGAUCGAGUAUGGGAACAAAAACCAAGUCCUUCACGAGGAGCAGCGUCCGGUUGAAACCAAGAUCCAGACCACCAUCUGGCUCUGCUGGCUUGGCUUAACCACCUGCUCCACCAAGACGGAGGAUGGGAAAGAAAACCAUGUCCUUCAUGAGGACGUCAGCCCGGUUCAGACCAAGAGCCAAACCUCCAACUGGCUCUGCUCGUUUGGCCUAUCCACUUGCUCCACAAAGAUGGCGGACGCGAAGAAAGACCAGGUCCUCCCCGGGGAGCAGCGCCAAGUUCAGACCAAGAGCCAGACCUCCAACUGGCUCUGCUCGUUUCCCCUAUCCACCUGCUCCACCAAGAUGGAGGAUGGCAAGAAAAACCAGGUCCUCCACGAGGAGCAGCACCCGGUUCAGACCAGGAGCAAGGCCUCUAACUGGAUUUGCUUGUUUGGCCUAUCCACCUGCUCCACCAAGAUGGAGGAUGGCAAGAAAAACCACAACUUUCAUGAGAACCAGCCUACGAUUGAGGCCAAGAGCCAGACCACCAACUGGCUCUGCUGGUUUGGAGUAACGGCCUGCCCAACCAAGAUCGAGGAUGGGAACACCAACCAGGUCCUUCCCAAGGAGCAGCAUCCAGUUGAGUCCAAGAGCCAGCCCUCCAGCUGGCUCAGCUGGUUUAGACAAAACUCCUGCUACACCAAGAUCGAGGACGGGAAGAAAAACAAGGUCUUUCAAGAGGAGCAGAGCCUGGCUGACACCAACAGCCAGACCUCCAACUGGCUCUGCUGGAUUGGACUAAACACCUGUCCAGGAAAUGAAGACAGAAAACUUGUACGUCCCGAAAAGAGGCUGCCCAUUAAUACUGAGCGCCGUGCCUCCAACUGGCCCUUCUGGCUUGGCCUUUCUCCACACCCCAAAUGGGUCCCGAACAGGGUCAGCAAGUCUGUUGUUCCAGAGGGCCCAAACCAGCAGUCCCCGCGCACCAAGCAAAAGGCCUUCAGCGUGCCUGACACCCUGCGCCACCUCUGCGACUUCCUAUUGCAACACCCGGCAGAAUUGAUCGUUCUGGAUUUAUUGGUAGACUGGUUUGCAUUUUGGCUACUAAGGCAUGCCUACCGGCUCUGGAGAGCAACUGGCCCUGCUGGUUUGAACUAACGUCCUGCUCCCUCACGACCGCGGACGCAAAGAAAGGCCAGGUCCUUCACGAGGACCAGCGUCCCAUUGAGUCCAAGUGGAAGCCC